RNAcentral lists this ribosomal RNA (467 nucleotides) under uncultured bacterium. RNAcentral describes it as "partial 16S ribosomal RNA". It matches the Rfam family "Bacterial small subunit ribosomal RNA", at positions 29 to 507 of the family's 1533-position model. The record is from RNAcentral.
ACGAACGCUGGCGGCGUGCUUAACCCAUGCAAGUCGAACGGAAAGGCCCUGCUUUUGUGGGGCGCUCGAGUGGCGAACGGGUGAGUAACACGUGAGUCACCUGCCCUUGACUUUGGGAUAACUUCAGGAAACUGGGGCUAAUACCGGAUAGGAGCUCCUGCUGCAUGGUGGGGGUUGGAAAGUUUCGGCGGUUGGGGAUGGACUCGCGGCUUAUCGGCUUGUUGGUGGGGUAGUGGCUUACCAAGGCAUGGACGGGUAGCCGACCUGAGAGGGUGGCCGGCCUCCUUGGGCCUGCGGUACGCCCCAGCGUCCUACGGGGGACAGCGGUGGGAAAUAUUGCCCAGUGGGCGGAAGCCUGAUGCGACAGCGCCGGGGUCGGAAUGACGGCCUUCGGGUUGUAAACCGCUUUCGCCUAUGACGAAGCUUGAGUGACGGUAAUGGGUAAAGAAGCACCGGCUAACUACGUG